Molecule: ribosomal RNA, 484 nt
Filed under: uncultured bacterium
Lineage: Bacteria
Description: partial 16S ribosomal RNA
Rfam family: Bacterial small subunit ribosomal RNA
Source: RNAcentral
AUUGAACGCUGGCCGCAUGCUUUACACAUGCAAGUCGAACGGCAGCGCGGGCUUCGGCCUGGCGGCGAGUGGCGAACGGGUGAGUAAUGCAUCGGAACGUGCCCAGUAGUGGGGGAUAGCCCGGCGAAAGCCGGAUUAAUACCGCAUACGACCUGAGGGUGAAAGCGGGGGACCGAAAGGCCUCGCGCUAUUGGAGCGGCCGAUGUCGGAUUAGCUAGUUGGUGGGGUAAAGGCUUACCAAGGCGACGAUCCGUAGCUGGUCUGAGAGGACGACCAGCCACACUGGGACUGAGACACGGCCCAGACUCCUACGGGAGGCAGCAGUGGGGAAUUUUGGACAAUGGGGGCAACCCUGAUCCAGCCAUGCCGCGUGCGGGAAGAAGGCCUUCGGGUUGUAAACCGCUUUUGUUCGGGAAGAAAUCCUCUGGGCUAAUACCCCGGGGGGAUGACGGUACCGGAAGAAUAAGCACCGGCUAACUACGUG